Molecule: long non-coding RNA, 879 nt
Organism: Orcinus orca (killer whale)
Lineage: Eukaryota; Metazoa; Chordata; Mammalia; Artiodactyla; Delphinidae
Exons: 2
Source: RefSeq, a predicted model, not a curated record
CAUCUCACACCAGUCAGAAUGGCCAUCAUCAAAAAAUCUAGAAACAAUAAAUGCUGGAGAGGGUGUGGAGAAAAGGGAACACUCUUGCACUGCUGGUGGGAAUGUGAAUUGGUACAGCCACUAUGGAGAACAGUAUGGAGGUUCCUUAAAAAGCUACAAAUAGAACUACCAUAUGACCCAGCAAUCCCACUACUGGGCAUAUACCCUGAGAAAACCAAAAUUCAAAAAGAGUCAUGUACCAAAAUGUUCACUGCAGCUCUAUUUACAAUAGCCCGGAGAUGGAAACAACCUAAGUGCCCAUCAUCGGAUGAAUGGAUAAAGAAGAUGUGGCACAUAUAUACAAUGGAAUAUUACUCAGCCAUAAAAAGAAACGAAAUUGAGCUAUUUGUAAUGAGGUGGAUAGACCUAGAGUCUGUCAUACAGAGUGAAGUAAGUCAGAAAGAAAAAGACAAAUACCGCAUGCUAACACAUAUAUAUGGAAUUUAAGAAAAAAAAAUGUCAUGAAGAACCUAGGGGUAAGGCAGGAAUAAAGACGCAGACCUCCUAGAGAACGGACUUGAGGUUAUGGGGAGGGGGAAGGGUGAGCUGUGACAGGGCGAGAGAGAGUCAUGGACAUAUACACACUAACAAACGUAGUAAGGUAGAUAGCUAGUUGGAAGCAGCCGCAUGGCACAGGGAUAUUGGCUUGGUGCUUUGUGACAGCCUGGAGGGGUGGGAUAGGGAGGGUGGGAGGGAGGGAGACGCAAGAGGGAAGAGAUAUGGGAACAUAUGUAUAUGUAUAACUGAUUCACGUUGUUAUAAAGCAGAAACUAACACACCAUUGUAAAGCAAUUAUACCCCAAUAAAGAUGUUAAAAAAUUAAAAAAAAAAAAAAAAUAA